UAGAUGGAUGCUCGCUGGUUAGGGCGCUUAGCUGUUAACUAAGAAUUUGCAGGAUCAAGGCCUGCCCAUCUAG
RNAcentral lists this transfer RNA (73 nucleotides) under Polydactylus plebeius (striped threadfin). RNAcentral describes it as "tRNA-Asn". It matches the Rfam family "tRNA". Rfam says of the family: Transfer RNA (tRNA) molecules are approximately 80 nucleotides in length. Their secondary structure includes four short double-helical elements and three loops (D, anti-codon, and T loops). The record is from RNAcentral. Lineage: Eukaryota; Metazoa; Chordata; Actinopteri; Polynemidae.